GUCUGAACGGUAGACACAGCUGUGAAGCUGAGUUUAGGAACUGCUCAAGUCCUGGCUCACCUCCUGCGUGACCCCACUACACACAUUUGCUCUCCAAGUCCCAUAGAGCAGUGAACUAAAAUUUUGAACAAAGGCUUUGCGUUUGGUGGAAAUAGAUACUGUGUGUUAUACCUGUAGGGUUUUCUUACGCCUCUGUUCUCUGCUUCCUAUGCAGUUCUUCUGAGUAAGGUACGUGAAGACCAAUGUGCGUUUUUUUCCUGUGAAUUUUCUGAAAUGAUCCUCCAAAGCUUUUCUUUGUGAUGGCAGUAGGAAUAAUAUCUGCAGCUGGCCUAACUCCAAUAGAGGUAAAAAUACAUCCGUUGUUAAGUAUAAAGGCUUCUAGUUGUAAGAGCAAAGCUGCAGUGAGUGAGUUUUCUACUGAGAUAAGUAUUUAGAGGGUAAAGUAUUAACCAUGUAAAUCCUUCGGCUCUUGCACAACUCUAGCAGGCAUCAGGCUUAGGACAGACUGGUAACAAUUUUGGGGCUAACCUAAUUAACAUUGCUCAGCUUGUAUACCUGCGGGAGAAGAGCAGUCACAAACUACACCAAGCAAUGAUGUCAUGGGAGAUAUGUACGUACCUGCAGUAGAAGUCAUGAGUUAGCAGGAACUGAGAUGUGUUGAAAAUCAGUGCAGGCUCUUUACUGUGUAGAGAUGGAGGUGCUGAAAAAUUUGAUGAUUAUUGUUUUGACAUGAUCUCAUUCCAUGAGGUGCUCACAGCCCUGCGGGACGUGAAUUCUGGACAAUUAUACCUGGGGGUAGAAGGGAGUUGUUCAUAUGCUAAGUAGAAGAAAAUGUGCUGGGAAAAUCUAGUGGAAGUUACCAUCUCCUUUUGGUACAUAGUCUAAUCAGUGAUUCCCCGUGAAGUUUCUCUAAUAAAACUAGGAUUGGUGAGGGUUUUCUUUUUCUUUUCCUAAUCUUGAAUGUGGUAUUCUGUUCUCUAUUCAGGGAGCUGCAAGACUGGGGCUACCCAUGGAGAAGAUGACUGUAUGCAAGUGGUGACAGCAGCGCAGGCAGGAGCUUGGUGACCAGGGUGUAGUCCCAGGUUGUGAGCAGCCAGGUGGUAAUUACAUGGUGGUCAGCCAACAGUCUCAGAUGUGGUGAUGAGCGUGAUCCAGGGGGUCCAGUUGGGAAUGGCAGGAGAUGGCUCGGGAACAAGGCUGUGACAUAAGCCCAAGGUCAGUGCAGGGAAUGGGGCAGAACAUGGUGCUGCUCCCAUUGUCAGUCACUAAGGGCAGGCCUGAGGUGAAACAGAGUUCUGGAUGAAUGAGCAGAGGGCAUGUGGAUGGAAGUCCCAGGGUUUGUUGUUAUCCGUUCAGGAUCAUUAGUGUACUCGUGACCCUGACAUUCAGACAGGUUGUUUCAUUCUUGUUCCACAGAAGUUUACUUCCAUAGUCUGACAUCUCUCCUUAUUAGCUGUCUUCCUUUCUCAAGAUAUCUGAGUAACAUUGUUACUGUACUUUUCUCUUAUACAGCAGUUUCUCUACAAAGAUCAAAGCACCUAAUGAAAAUCAAGUGCAACAGACUCCUUAUUUUGACUUCAGUUUAUAGUGAAAGCUCACAGACACUUUGGUGAUGAGUGGAAGGGAGUUAAAGGUUGAGAAAGAAGUUACAAGGUGUACCGAGAAAGAUCAAAACGCCCCUGUCAGACUGAUUAUUUGUUGAAACUCUUCUGGAUGUUACCUCAUCUUUCUUAUCUCAAAAGUGCACAUUAAGAGAAACAGGGUUGAAGGUAUGAAGGAACGGUGGUGUUCUGAGAAUCAAUAAGUAGACUGCACUGCAGUAUAUAUUAUGUACAAAAAACCCUCCACAACAGUGGAAUCAUUUUACAAGUGACAUGCAGAAGCUGAAGCUGCUUGGAGGAAUGUCAUAAAAAGACUCCAGACACAGCAUCCUCUUUGAAGCAGUGUGUUUGAUCUGAUCUGACACUUCCAGGGUAUUCACACAGAACUACUUGCCAGGUACUUUUUCUCUCUUCUUCAUGUAGGUUGUUAAGCAAAAUAGCGCCAAGUUGCUACCUAGGACAGCUUAGCUGUCAUCUAGAUAGCUAGUGAUGUUUAUCCAUGAGAACUUUGACCUAAGGUCUGUAGCAUUUAUAUCUGAGUUAUAAGCAGAAGUAUAAUAACCAUUUAUAUAAAUGAUUCUAUACAUCAAUUCUAGCAUGUGGAUGAUUGGGGGAGAGGAUAUUAUUUUAUAUCACUAUCUCCUCUGUAAUUAUGAGGAGGCCAGACACACUUGACUGGGGCCCAGUUGUCUGAGAUACUGUAUAAACAGGAUGAAAACAUUGUUAACAGCUGAAAUGCUUUACAACACAAAGCUAAAUGGUAACAGUGCAAUAAAGCUCUCACAAAAAUAGGAAACAAAGGUUAGGACUGUUAAGAAGCAGGUGUUCAGGAUCCCUAAGCACCGUGGAGAGUUUAGGGAAAACCUCAGUAGAAAUGAUUAAGCCAUAGUGUGAAGAUGGACAAUAUAAUAGGUGGUUGAAUUUGCAUUGGGACUGUCUAAUACUUCAAGAUUGUAUGAGGAAAUGUGGGAAAAUGGUGAUCGUAUUCCUCAGCGUACAUAUGUGUACUUAUGUAAAGUGUCCAACGUCUAAAGAGCUUUUAUGUGCUGUACUGUGGGAGCAAAUAGCUCAGUGAAAGCACUGACCAAUGUUUAUCCAUCUUUGUGACAGUGAGUUGCAAUCUGUGUUAACUUUGGACUGUUUGAACUAGCUUGAUAGCAAUAUGGUAUCAGCUGUCUGCUUUGUAGCCAUAGCAAGCACAACUAAGAUAAGGAAGCAAUUUCUUCCUUGAUUAUUCUGGACUCCUAGAAAAACUAGUAUCUUCCUUAUUAUCAUACAAUGUUCUACUUAUUGCUAAAUAAAAAUCAGAUCUUUUUACAUCAGGAGUGGAUACUUAUCGAAUGGUUUGUAGAAUUAUUUUAAGAGGAAUUAAAAAUGAUUAGGUUUUAUUUGCAAACCGAAGACACAUUUAAGCAUACUGUGCUGUUAUUAGUGCUUUCCCAGCAUUUAGCUUGCAUGAAUUCUGCUCAGAUCAUUACCUACCAUCUCACCUUCAGGAAGUAUAACCUUGACUUGGGAUUCCUGUUUCUGACUUCAAAAAUAGGCAUGGAAGCAAGAAUAUGGUUAGAAACAAAAAGCUACACUUUUUUCUUCACCACAUUAUGAUUCCUUCCCAACUCUUCUAUCACUCUUUCCGUGCAUAUUCAAAGAAUCAUAGAAUCAUAGAAAAGUCCUCUAAUAUCAUCCAAUCCAACCAUCAACAUAUCACAACCAUGCCUACUAACCAUGUCCCUCUGGGCCCCAUCUACACAUUUCAGAAGGAAGCUUGUGGCAAAAGCAUUUCCAUAGUCCCAAUGGAUAACUGUUUGGAUGUGGUGCUCAGGGACAUGAUUUAGUGGAGGGUUGUUAGAGUUAGGGUAGUAUGGUUGGGUUGUGGUUGGACUCGAUGAUCUUUAAGGUCUUUUCCAACCUGAGCAAUUCUGAUUCUGUGAUAGAUGACAAAACCAUUGUUGUCAUAGACAUCAACUGUUCAUUAAGUAACGUCAGUUCACACAGCGUAUUUCCCCAAGUGUUGCAUGAAUGCAACAGUACUGGAAACUGUAAAGUAACAGGAGACAGUCUUUUAAUGUAUUUUGCAAUAAUUUUCCUUUUCAUCCUCAUCUUGUAGUCGUAACUAUCAUGAGAAAGAAAGACAUUACUAGUCAUAAAUAGUAUGAAUCCUCAUUCCAUUUGCAUGAAUUUGCACAAAUGAAUGUUUCUUGGGAUUGUGCAAUGGGUUUGUAAAUUAAGGGUAUUUUCUCCCUGGCCUUGUGUUUCAGAUCUCUUGAAUUCUUCCUCAAAAGAAGGCAAGCAGCUGAUAAUUCACUUCUCUGUACUGACCAUAGCACAUAUAUGAUUUUGAUUCUCCUUUCUACAACUCCUCUGAUUUGAAAUAGACAUUUUGCAGAUAUUUUUGCAAUAGCUUAACCUCAGUUUUUCAGCUCUGAUAUAAUUGAUUAGUAGACAUUAAAUUGUCAGUUUACUGCCUUUCUUUUUUACAUCACACGUUAUGGACAUAUCUCUGAGUCUCAAAGUCAAAGCUUGGAAUGAUGUAGAUUCUCUCCCUGUUGAAACUGUGGCUAAUAAACUAAUUACAUAUCACAAAAGCUGCAUUUAUACUUACAUAUGUAGUUAAAAUACAUUCAUAUGCUUUAUAAACAUACGCAUACUAAUCUAUCAGAUAAAUAUAAAUACCUCAGAAUUGUAGAGGUUGGAAUGGAUGUCUGGAGAUCAUGUAGUUCAACCCCCUGCUAAAGCAAGGUCCCUACUUUAGGUUGAAGAGGAAAGUAUUCAGCUGACUCUUGAGUAUCACCAGAGGAGACUCUAUAACCUCUCUGGGCAGCCUGUUCCGGUGCUCUGUAAUGCUCAAAGUAAAGAAGUUCUUUCUCACAUUCAGGUGGAACUUCCCGUGUUCCAGUCUGUGCCCAUUGCCCCUUGUUCUGCCACUGGGCACGACGGAAAAGAGCCCAGGCCCAUCCACCAGGCACCCACCCUGUAGAUAUUCAUAAGUACUGAUAAGAUCCACUCUCAGUCUCCUCCAGACUAGGUCUCUCAGCCUUACGCAUACAGUAUAUAUGUACAUAUGCAUAAGUCUUUACAUGUUUGAGCCAAUCAUUGUUGCCAGAAUUUUGCAUCAAGUGCUGCUCUGUGCAGGAUUGUUUCACUUACACUCUCUUUUUGCUAUUGGCUGUCCCUGCUCUGUUCACUGGACUAUGUUUGCCCAAGGUUUCAUAAAGCAGCAGGUGAGCCAGAAAAUUUUUGGAAAGAAUAAAUUGUUAAUUUAUCAGGUAACUGUUAAUUUCAGAGAUACAGUUCAAUUCUUAGUGAAUUAUUUGUGAGGAAUAUUACUGAUCAUGAAUGCCACCGUGACAGCGUCCCAUAGUUGAGAAACAAAAAUAUUUAAUAUCAGACACUCUGAUUUAUCUUCAAAAUAUUUGCACAAACAGUUAGUGGAAUGGGCAAAUACUUUUGCAUUAUAUUUUUCAAUUAAUGCCUGUUUUGGGUAGAUUAUUUUGCUCUGAUGUGUUGAAUACAAACUGUUCUUUGUGCACUACCUCACUUUUGCUCUUGCGUAUCUCUGCUUUGAGUGCAAAGCUCCAUCUAGAGAAAGCCCGGUGUAAUACCACAGAUCAUUUUCACACAGACAUGACCUUUAGAGCAAGAUGGUGUUGGCUUUGUGUGGUGGGACACUGAUUCUGAAAAGUAUUUUACAUGAUUUUGGGCACCCUACUCUGGAUGUCCCUGUUUGAGCAGAUGUUGGACCAGAUGGACCCAGAGUUACCUUCCAACCUAAACUAUUCUGUGACUCUUUAAUUCUAUGACUUGUUAGUCUUGGUAGAUAACUGUUUGCAUGUGCUAUUCCAGUGUGAGGCAAUAAUUAAAGCAUUUAUUUAGUACACUCACUAUGUAAAUAAAGAAGGAUGUUUUAGAAAGGAACAGGAGAGGUUGAUAGAGGUCUUCUGUUUGCUUCACCCAUGUCUUUGGCACAAUAAAUAAUCACUUGAAUAUAUCCAUUUCUGGUGUCCACAAUUUAAAAAAAGAUAUUGAUGUCAACACAGCAGACUGAGUAGAAAACCGGAAUGUGUACUGAAAAUAGAAUUUGUGUUGUUUAGCUCAACAAAAGGCAGACUGUAGAGUAAAGAGACAACAAGACUUGAAAGACUUCACAGACUUGAAAGGUGGGCCCGGUGAACC
Molecule: long non-coding RNA, 5774 nt
Organism: Gallus gallus (chicken)
Lineage: Eukaryota; Metazoa; Chordata; Aves; Galliformes; Phasianidae
Exons: 3
Source: RefSeq, a predicted model, not a curated record